GAAUGCUGACAUAAGUAACGAUAAAGCGGGUGAAAAGCCCGCUCGCCGGAAGACCAAGGGUUCCUGUCCAACGUUAAUCGGGGCAGGGUGAGUCGACCCCUAAGGCGAGGCCGAAAGGCGUAGUCGAUGGGAAACGGGUUAAUAUUCCCGUACUUGGUGUUACUGCGAAGGGGGGACGGAGAAGGCUAUGUUGGCCGGGCGACGGUUGUCCCGGUUUAAGCGUGUAGGUGUGUGUUCCAGGUAAAUCCGGUUCACUUUAACACUGAGGCGUGACGACGAGGCACUACGGUGCUGAAGCAACAAAUGCCCUGCUUCCAGGAAAAGCCUCUAAGCAUCAGGUAACAUCAAAUCGUACCCCAAACCGACACAGGUGGUCAGGUAGAGAAUACCAAGGCGCUUGAGAGAACUCGGGUGAAGGAACUAGGCAAAAUGGUGCCGUAACUUCGGGAGAAGGCACGCUGACACGUAGGUGAAGUGAUUUACUCAUGGAGCUGAAGUCAGUCGAAGAUACCAGCUGGCUGCAACUGUUUAUUAAAAACACAGCACUGUGCAAACACGAAAGUGGACGUAUACGGUGUGACGCCUGCCCGGUGCCGGAAGGUUAAUUGAUGGGGUCAGCGCAAGCGAAGCUCCUGAUCGAAGCCCCGGUAAACGGCGGCCGUAACUAUAACGGUCCUAAGGUAGCGAAAUUCCUUGUCGGGUAAGUUCCGACCUGCACGAAUGGCGUAAUGAUGGCCAGGCUGUCUCCACCCGAGACUCAGUGAAAUUGAACUCGCUGUGAAGAUGCAGUGUACCCGCGGCAAGACGGAAAGACCCCGUGAACCUUUACUAUAGCUUGACACUGAACAUUGAGCCUUGAUGUGUAGGAUAGGUGGGAGGCUUUGAAGUGUGGACGCCAGUCUGCAUGGAGCCGACCUUGAAAUACCACCCUUUAAUGUUUGAUGUUCUAACGUGGACCCGUUACCCGGGUUGCGGACAGUGUCUGGUGGGUAGUUUGACUGGGGCGGUCUCCUCCUAAAGAGUAACGGAGGAGCACGAAGGUUGGCUAAUCCUGGUCGGACAUCAGGAGGUUAGUGCAAUGGCAUAAGCCAGCUUGACUGCGAGCGUGACGGCGCGAGCAGGUGCGAAAGCAGGUCAUAGUGAUCCGGUGGUUCUGAAUGGAAGGGCCAUCGCUCAACGGAUAAAAGGUACUCCGGGGAUAACAGGCUGAUACCGCCCAAGAGUUCAUAUCGACGGCGGUGUUUGGCACCUCGAUGUCGGCUCAUCACAUCCUGGGGCUGAAGUAGGUCCCAAGGGUAUGGCUGUUCGCCAUUUAAAGUGGUACGCGAGCUGGGUUUAGAACGUCGUGAGACAGUUCGGUCCCUAUCUGCCGUGGGCGCUGGAGAACUGAGGGGGGCUGCUCCUAGUACGAGAGGACCGGAGUGGACGCAUCACUGGUGUUCGGGUUGUCAUGCCAAUGGCACUGCCCGGUAGCUAAAUGCGGAAGAGAUAAGUGCUGAAAGCAUCUAAGCACGAAACUUGCCCCGAGAUGAGUUCUCCCUGAGACUUAGAGUCUCCUGAAGGAACGUUGAAGACGACGACGUUGAUAGGCCGGGUGUGUAAGCGCAGCGAUGCGUUGAGCUAACCGGUACUAAUGAACCGUGAGGCUUAACCUUACAAC
This 1660-nucleotide ribosomal RNA is filed under the name Salmonella enterica. Its description in RNAcentral is "partial 23S ribosomal RNA". It matches the Rfam family "Bacterial large subunit ribosomal RNA", at positions 1292 to 2925 of the family's 2925-position model. Lineage: Bacteria; Pseudomonadati; Pseudomonadota; Gammaproteobacteria; Enterobacterales; Enterobacteriaceae. The record is from RNAcentral.